GACGAACGCUGGCGGCGUGCUUAACACAUGCAAGUCGAACGGAAAGGCCCUGCUUUUGUGGGGUGCUCGAGUGGCGAACGGGUGAGUAACACGUGAGUAACCUGCCCUUGACUUUGGGAUAACUUCAGGAAACUGGGGCUAAUACCGGAUAGGAGCUCCUGCUGCAUGGUGGGGGUUGGAAAGUUUCGGCGGUUGGGGAUGGACUCGCGGCUUAUCAGCUUGUUGGUGGGGUAGUGGCUUACCAAGGCUUUGACGGGUAGCCGGCCUGAGAGGGUGACCGGCCACAUUGGGACUGAGAUACGGCCCAGACUCCUACGGGGGGCAGCAGUGGGGAAUAUUGCACAAUGGGCGGAAGCCUGAUGGAGCCACGCCGCGUGCGGGAUGACGGCCUUCGGGUUGUAAACCGCUUUCGCCUGUGACGAAGCGUGAGUGACGGUAAUGGGUAAAGAAGCACCGGCUAACUACGUG
Molecule: ribosomal RNA, 468 nt
Filed under: uncultured bacterium
Lineage: Bacteria
Description: partial 16S ribosomal RNA
Rfam family: Bacterial small subunit ribosomal RNA
Source: RNAcentral